RNAcentral lists this RNase P RNA (329 nucleotides) under Roseateles puraquae. RNAcentral describes it as "Pelomonas puraquae Bacterial RNase P class A". It matches the Rfam family "Bacterial RNase P class A". From Rfam's summary of the family: Ribonuclease P (RNase P) is a ubiquitous endoribonuclease, found in archaea, bacteria and eukarya as well as chloroplasts and mitochondria. Lineage: Bacteria; Pseudomonadati; Pseudomonadota; Betaproteobacteria; Burkholderiales; Sphaerotilaceae. The record is from Rfam by way of RNAcentral.
GAAGCAAGCCAGACCGCCGCUGGGGCAAGCAUGGAAACAUGGCCCUGGAGGAAGGUCCGGACUGCAUAGAGCGGCGUAGCAGCUAACGGCUGCCCGGCGAAAGCCGAGGAUCAGAGCAACAGAGACGAGUUUUGUCGGGCUCUGCCCGACAAAGGUGAAACGGGCAAUCUCUACGCGCAGCAACACCAAGUAGGCCAGCGUUGAUGCGGCUCGCAGAGCUGGCGGGUAGGUGGCACCGAGCCGGGCAGUGAUGUCCGGCCCAGAGGAAUGGCGGUCACGCCGGGGGCAACCCCGGUGCACAGAAUCCGGCCUAUCGGCUUGCUUCACUC